AUGGUUUCAGGUGGCUUCAAGCUGAUUGCAGAGCUCUGCCUGCAAACCUGCAGCAUCUUAAGCACCAGUAAUUCAGAUUUGAGCAAAAUACCUGUAGUGGACGCUGAAGUUUGCCUGUCCCCACAUAAAGCAUCCCUUGCUCUUUCUGUUGGGUUUAUCAUUUUUGGCAAGAAGCAACCAGCAUCUGGGACCCAAGAGGCUGGCCAAGGCAAGUGUGGAUCAUUGGAGGGGAUGGAGCAGUAUGAGAUAAUCUCAGCUGUUUGUUCGCAUUGGAAAACUGCUGGAGAAAUAACAUCACCAUUCCACUGCCAGUGGCCUGGUGUGACCUGCUUAGCUGCAAAUGCUCAUCUUUGGCUCGCACUUUCAGCUUCUCUCCAUCACACAUUCAUAAAGUUUCAGCAGAAGAAGAUUCAGACUAUUUUCUGAUGGAUUUUACCAUUAUCCUCAUACUGAGUUCACUGGGAAAAAGAAGUCCUUCAAGAAAGAUUGAGGUGAAUAAUCCAUAACUUUCCUUGGCAAGUUGUUCCAAAGACUAAUUGCCCUUCCAGUUAAAAUUUUAUUACUGAUUUCUAAUUUGCAUAUGUCUGCCUUUAUCUGCAGUUCUGCCUUAGUUCUGACUUUUUUUUCUUUUUUUUUUUUAUAGUAGUUGGUAGAAACUCAAACAUAUUUUUCCAGUCUACUUUUUGAUUAGCUAAACCGCUUGAGCCCAUUACAGUUGUCAGUGUAAGGAAUAUAUCUCUGACUUUGGCAAUUUUUUAUUCCUUCCAAUAUCUUCUCUAAUUUUUCAGCAUCCAUUCUGAAAUGUGAAGAGUUGAUCUGUACGGGUAUUCAAGUUCCAGUCUGAUCAGGAAGGCUACAAACAGAGAAAAACCCAAGACCCAUGACUCUCCUGUUGACAUAUGUAUGACCCCAUUGGUAUGUCGAAUAAUCAUAAUGAAAGCCUACACUUGUCUCUUUUCUUGCUUUUCAGCAGUCUUGCUGUUUUUCUGCAACCAUUGUCUACAUUUCUUCUUCCUGACAUAUGACUUUCCCUU
RNAcentral lists this long non-coding RNA (1034 nucleotides) under Anas platyrhynchos platyrhynchos (common mallard). RNAcentral describes it as "lncRNA (ENSAPLG00000020830.1)". Lineage: Eukaryota; Metazoa; Chordata; Aves; Anseriformes; Anatidae. The record is from RNAcentral.